GCCGGGUGCGGAGGCUCACGCCUGUAGUCCCAGCACUUUGGGAGGCUGAGGCGGGUGGAUCACCUGAGGUCAGGAGUUUGAGACCAGCCUGACCAACAUGGUGAAACCCCGUCUCUA
This 117-nucleotide small RNA is filed under the name Macaca fascicularis (crab-eating macaque). Its description in RNAcentral is "Metazoan signal recognition particle RNA (ENSMFAG00000053487.1)". Lineage: Eukaryota; Metazoa; Chordata; Mammalia; Primates; Cercopithecidae. The record is from Rfam by way of RNAcentral.